AUCGAAACAGGUGAAACAAUUGCAGUUUUUUGGGCAUAAUAUUGAGAAAGGAACAAAAAACUGCAAUUGUUUCACCUGUUUCGAU
Non-coding RNA from Pelobates cultripes (western spadefoot toad), 85 nucleotides. The record is from the annotation of a GenBank genome assembly. Lineage: Eukaryota; Metazoa; Chordata; Amphibia; Anura; Pelobatidae.